This 86-nucleotide transfer RNA is filed under the name Silene flos-cuculi (ragged-robin). RNAcentral describes it as "tRNA-Ser". It matches the Rfam family "tRNA". Rfam says of the family: Transfer RNA (tRNA) molecules are approximately 80 nucleotides in length. The record is from RNAcentral. RNAcentral also lists the same sequence under 1 other name. Lineage: Eukaryota; Viridiplantae; Streptophyta; Magnoliopsida; Caryophyllales; Caryophyllaceae.
GGAGAGAUGGCUGAGUGGUUGAUAGCUCCGGUCUUGAAAACCGGCAUGGUUCUUUACUAUCGAGGGUUCGAAUCCCUCUCUCUCCU